RNAcentral lists this ribosomal RNA (253 nucleotides) under uncultured bacterium. RNAcentral describes it as "partial 16S ribosomal RNA". It matches the Rfam family "Bacterial small subunit ribosomal RNA", at positions 524 to 776 of the family's 1533-position model. The record is from RNAcentral.
GACGAACCGUCCGAACGUUAUUCGGAAUCACUGGGCUUAAAGGGCGCGUAGGCGGGACCGUAAGUCAGGGGUGAAAUCCCACGGCUCAACCGUGGAAGUGCCUUUGAUACUGCGGACCUCGAGGUGGGUAGGGGCGUGCGGAACUUCCGGUGGAGCGGUGAAAUGCGUAGAUAUCGGAAGGAACACCGGUGGCGAAAGCGGCACGCUGGGCCCGUACUGACGCUGAGGCGCGAAAGCCAGGGUAGCAAACGGG